Triticum dicoccoides is the source of this 676-nucleotide long non-coding RNA. RefSeq lists it as uncharacterized. The transcript has 2 exons. Lineage: Eukaryota; Viridiplantae; Streptophyta; Magnoliopsida; Poales; Poaceae. The record is from RefSeq and is a predicted model, not a curated record.
GCACGCCUACCCAUUAAAUCCACCGCAUACCACGCCGCAAGCCGCCGCCGCAAGUCGCCUGAGGGCCUCAUGCCGCCGCCGCCGCUCGCCCCUUUCUCUGUAGGUCGCCCACGCAAUCCUCGGCCCCAGGGUCGUUCCCUCCUCCCCACCAGGCUCGAGGAGGCCCGAGGAGGCGGCCAUGAGGAGCGCGCAGCCGCCGGAGUCCUGGGCAGAUCUAGCCGGGGCCGUCUGCAGCCAUCCCUUCCUCCGGGCGGCCAUGAAGAAUUGAAGCGGCUUGAGCAGAACUAGCGCAUGGACCAUGCGCGCCUCCCGCGGUAGAAGCCACUGGUCCUCGUCAUCUGCUGUCAUCCACGAGGAAUCCAUCCAUAUAUCCAAAAGAAGGAUAAGUGAGUUGCAGAUGAGUUCUCCAGUUGGAUGAAGCAUAUAAAACUAGAAGAUUUUACUUAGCAAUAACCAUAGUUUACAUUGAUAGAUUGAAAAAUGUAAUGCCAUUCACAAGACCUUUUUCUUUGGUCGAAUUGAUGUAAAUGCUAUGGUGUAAUAUUCUUCAUAGGUGUGUUCUCUAUAGUCAAAUUGAUAUGAAUGAUAUGUUGUUGCACCAAUAACAUCAGUAUUUAUUUAUUAUAAUGCAUAUGUAUCCCACACUCUUGUAUAUUCAUAAUAAAUACCUUUGAUA